Molecule: ribosomal RNA, 253 nt
Filed under: uncultured bacterium
Lineage: Bacteria
Description: partial 16S ribosomal RNA
Rfam family: Bacterial small subunit ribosomal RNA
Source: RNAcentral
UACGUAGGGGGCGAGCGUUGUCCGGAUCUAUUGGGCGUAAAGAGCGUGUAGGCGGCCAGGUAGGUCUGCUGUGAAAACUCGAGGCUCAACCUCGAGACGUCGGCGGAAACCAUCUGGCUAGAGUCCGGAAGAGGAGAGUGGAAUUCCUGGUGUAGCGGUGAAAUGCGUAGAUAUCUGGAGGAACACCGGUGGCGAAGGCGGCAUCCUGGACCAUUACUGACACUGAAAAGCGAAAGCCAGGGGAGCAAACGGG